UACGAAGACUCCAAGCGUUAUCCGAAUUUAUUGGGCGUAAAGCGUACGUAGGGGGCUUAAUGCGUCCACCGUUAAAUCUCACUGCCCAACAGUGAGGCCGCGGUGGAUACGGUUAAGCUAGAGGAUGCGAGAGGUCUGUGGAACGCACGGUGUAGGGGUGAUAUCCGUUGAUAUCGUGCGGAACACCAAAGGCGAAGGCAGCAGACUGGCGUAUUCCUGACCCUCAGGUACGAAAGCGUGGGUAGCGAACGGG
RNAcentral lists this unclassified non-coding RNA (253 nucleotides) under uncultured Parcubacteria group bacterium. RNAcentral describes it as "contains 16S-23S intergenic spacer region". It matches the Rfam family "Bacterial small subunit ribosomal RNA", at positions 524 to 776 of the family's 1533-position model. The record is from RNAcentral.